RNAcentral lists this long non-coding RNA (464 nucleotides) under Homo sapiens (human). RNAcentral's name for it is "non-protein coding LINC01255:12". Lineage: Eukaryota; Metazoa; Chordata; Mammalia; Primates; Hominidae. The record is from RNAcentral.
CAGUGAAAGGGUCCUCCCUCAUAGUGACGCAUGUCAUAGACUCAGAUUUAUACAAACAAAUGCUGAGCAAACCAUGAAGAGUCUCUGGUAUUUUCAACAAUAUCAUCACAGAGGAACUGUAUUGAUUUCCUUGAACUUUUCAAAUGUAGAGGAGCCUUUAGAAGGAAGCCUUGAGCAUGAGGACAGACCCCCCUCAUCCAACCACCACCUGACUCUGUGUGAACCUGGAACUGUUAGAAUGUCUGUGCUGUGAUAAAAGGUCAUCUCCCUACAAUGUUAUGAUACAGACCUCAAACCUACAAACAUGAGGAACUUCUGCCUCCAGGUUAACUGCUUACCCACUGUACAAGACACGUUACACACAGUCCAGGAGGCGGAGCUUCUGAGAUAUCUAGAAACAGCUUAGAGGCAAAAUGACAAAAUAAAGCAGCAACAACAAAUAAAACCAAUCUUCUCGAACUGGC